CCACGUAGGGCGCAAGCGUUGUCCGGAUUUAUUGGGCGUAAAGGGCUCGUAGGCGGUUUCGUAAGUCGGGUGUGAAAACUCAGGGCUCAACCCUGAGACGCCACUCGAUACUGCGAUGACUUGAGUCCGGUAGGGGAGCAGGGAAUUCCUGGUGUAGCGGUGAAAUGCGCAGAUAUCAGGAGGAACACCAUUAGCGAAGGCGCUGCUCUGGGCCGGUACUGACGCUGAGGAGCGAAAGCAUGGGGAGCAAACAGGAUUAGAAACCCUAGUAGUCC
RNAcentral lists this ribosomal RNA (275 nucleotides) under uncultured bacterium. Its description in RNAcentral is "partial 16S ribosomal RNA". It matches the Rfam family "Bacterial small subunit ribosomal RNA", at positions 523 to 796 of the family's 1533-position model. The record is from RNAcentral.